This 303-nucleotide unclassified non-coding RNA is filed under the name Melitaea cinxia (Glanville fritillary). RNAcentral describes it as "misc RNA ENSMCXG00005011426.1". Lineage: Eukaryota; Metazoa; Arthropoda; Insecta; Lepidoptera; Nymphalidae. The record is from RNAcentral.
CGACGUAAGUUUGGACCUCAAGGAUGGAACAGGGUAUACCCCUUUAACUUUGGUGAUUUGACGAUUUGCGUAUAUGUGUUGUACAACUACCUGGAGGCUAACCCUCGCGUGCCCUGGGAGGACCUUCGGUAUCUCUUUGGUGAAAUCAUGUAUGGCGGACACAUCACCGAUGACUGGGACAGGAGGCUUUGUAGAACCUUCUUACUGGAGUACAUGCAGCCGGAACUGGUGAUAUUUAUUUAUCUGUAUAACACUAGUAUAACAAUUGUGUAAUUUAUUUAAUAUUUGGAAAACCAACAGCAC